GCCCCCUGCGCGUUGUCAGCCCGGUGGUGGGACCGUGGAACGGGUGGGCUUCAGCUCCCUGAACCCAAAUCCUGGGGGCUGGUGGAGAGCAGGGAAUAAAACCCACUUCAGCACCGAAGGCGGAACAGCAGCCGGAGGAGUGCGGCGCUGCCGCCGGCCGGCCCCGAACCCCCGGCGGCUGCGGCCGGGCAGCGGGAUGCGCGGGGAACCGGGGGCUGUCCGAACCACGGGUAAUUGUCGGCAUCUUCCCUUUUUCUUUCUGUGAGGGCUGGCUGCUUGCUGGUAGUGUUGCCGUGGCCAGCGCACAUCCCUAGGAGCGGCUCCUUCCAGCAGCUCGGCACAGAGCCGGCUGUCGGGAGCCGGCGGUGCGACGGGUCGCGACGGCGAAAUCGCUUCGCUACCGACCGGCAGAGUUAAAAACGCGGCGGUAGCGACCACCGCAUCGACCCCGCACGGGCAGAACCGCUCACAUCUGCUCCUCUUCCCUCCGACACAAACAAGAGGUUUUUCCGCCUUAUUUAUUUUGGUUUUUUUUCUUUUGGUUGAUUUGGAUUUUUUGGUUUUUUCUGCCGCUUCCAGCACCCGACUCGCCGCGGCCGCAGACGAGCACCGGAUACCGCAGCGUCCAGGAGCGGGGUCCAUCCUUCCGCACGGUGCCUGCCCGGCCGUUUAUUCCCCGGCUAUUCCUUUCUGCGAAAAGAGAAGGGGAAAAAGCAAAAAAAGACCAAAAGAACCUAAAACACAAACACCAAACCAACCCCUAAUAAAUAAUAAUAGAAGAAGGAAGCGCAGCAACUUGCUUUAAGCAAAGGGCGGUAGGACCACGGAGCGCAGCCCCCCGGGAAGGGAGGUAGCGGAGGGAGGGCAGGCUGGCACCGGCAGGGCUCGCAGCCCCACGGGGGUACCGGCAGGUCCGGCGGCGGCGGACGUGAAAGUCCCCUUUAAGUUUCCAUAGAGAGGCCUCCGGGUGUCACAUGAUGGACAUGAUAUAACGAAACAACAUCGUGGGGAGGGACGGAGGGAAGCAGUGGGGGAGCCCGGGGAGGCGGCGGUGCCCCCCGACCCGCCCGCCCCGGUUGCACCUGUCUCGGCGCGCCGGGAGCGCGGUGUCCGCCCCGCUGAUGGGGCUGCGGGCGGCACCUUCCUCCGGGGAGGAGGAGAAGGAGAAGGAGGAGGAGGAGGAGGAGAAGGAGGCGAGCCGGUGGCGGAGGUUUUCUGUGACUGUUCCGCGUCCUGCUGCUGCUGCUGCUGCUGCUGGAUCCGAAUGCCGAGGCUACAAAGGCUUGUUACUGUCUCAUGCUGGGUCCCUCAAAUCCAAGAGCUACUUGGCAGUUUCCAAGGCAACCACCUGUGGAAUAAUUAAAAAGGAUGAAGUGUUAGCGUGCCAGAUAUAAGGAAUUCUUGCCUGGAGAGAGCGUUUCACUUUCUUCCGUCUUGAAGAAUCAAACGUGCUUCUGCCAGCAAAGUUAAGAAAAAGAAACGGUGGCUGAGUUGCACAAGUGAACCAGGACAACACAAAAUACCCCACAGAGAUGAUUUUAAAUGUCUACAGCAGCGGUGGCAAUGAAAAUGAAGUGUUUUUAUAAUUUCAACGAGGAAAUUCCCCUCAGCUCUUCUGAUCAUUAAAUCUGGGAAGGAUGGAGCAGUCCAAGAUUUGAAACUGUUUUAAAACUUCCAGCACCUAAUUAGAAGGAGGCAUCUUGGAGCAGCACAAUAGCUCUCUAUCUGCAGUUCAUUUGGUUUUCCAAUUUAGAAAUGACAGUUUACAGCCCUGGUGCGAGCGUGUUUCUCGUUAGCCUGUUCUAGAAACACACAGAGUUAUUACAAGUUUUGAAAGAUGCUUUCUUCAAAAGUGCAAAUGAUAUUAAAUAGCAGGAUUUGCUGUCUGGACAGCCACACGGAGAAGCUGUGGUCUGCAACCAUCCUAAGGCUGGUGGUAAAGGCAGAGCCAGGCAGCCGGACUUCAGCUCCAAAUCCGUGGAUGUCAUGGAUACAACUGCAUGGAAAAGAUGCUGCAGCAGGAAUUAGCCUUGUCCAGGGGAGACAGUUGGGAAGUGCCCCUGCUUUUCCUUGUUUCACAGAUGGAUCUCAUGUUUCUUUGGUUUUUUUCAUGAAGAUUUUCUUGGAGAGGAUUGUGUUAGCUGUGCUGCUGACAGAUACCCUCUGUGAGAACUGUCCACACUGGCUUGAUUUCCCUCUUCAGGAGUUGGAUUCCUAGUCUGAGCUGGUUGGGUUUGUUGUCCUUGGGGUAAAUGAAAAGAGAUCUGCAUGUCAGCAGGUGAUAAAACUUGAGGAACGGGUGUAAUUAUUUUGUUCACAUGGUUUUCUGCCCCCUGAAGAGAAGGAGAUUGAGAGCUGCCUGUCCUCAGGACUCGACAGAUGGGUUCAUCCUGGAUGGUGGUUUGGGGUCUGGAAUGUCAAUUCUACAAGGACUGGCUGAGGGUUGAAGAGGAGACUCAGGGAAGACCUUAUUUACCUGAAGACCAACAUUUAUCUGAGGGAAUUUAUCUGGUGAGGUGGAAUCAGCCUCUUCUGCCAGGUGACAAGUGACAGGAUGAUGGCAAACAGCCUCAAGUUUCACCAGCAGAGGUUCAGGUUGGAUAUCAGGAAAAAUUUCUCCACUGAAAGAGUCGUUAGCCAUUGAAACAGGCUGAGGGCAGUGAUGGAGUCACCAUCCCUGGAAGUGUUCAAAAAACAAGUGGACCUGGCACUUCAUGAUACAGUUUAGUGAGCAUGGUGGUAUUAAGCCAAAGGUUGGACUCAAUAAUCUCGGAGGUCUUCUCCAACCUCAGUGGUUCUUUAGUUCUGGUCAAUUAAAAUCAGCUUUCACUGGGCUUCCAGAGGCA
Poecile atricapillus (Black-capped chickadee) is the source of this 2846-nucleotide long non-coding RNA. RefSeq lists it as uncharacterized. The record is from RefSeq and is a predicted model, not a curated record. Lineage: Eukaryota; Metazoa; Chordata; Aves; Passeriformes; Paridae. The transcript is spliced from 5 exons.